AUUCCAGCUCCAAUAGCGUAUAUUAAAGUUGUUGCGGUUAAAAAGCUCGUAGUUGGAGUUCUGCCAGGUGCCACCUGUCCGCCCCAGUGGUGAGUACGUGGUGCGCAUUUGGCCCUUUCAAGGGGAGCGUAUUUGCACUUAAUUGUGUGGUGCGGGAUCCUUGACUUUUACUUUGAGGAAAUAAGAGUGUUCCAAGCAGGCUCUCGUCGUGCAUAGCUCAGCAUGGAAUAAUAGCAUUGGACCUCGAUUCUAAGCUGUUGGUUGCCAGAAGCGAGGUAAUGAUGAAGAGGGAUAGUUGGGGGCAUUCGUAUUCCGCCGAGAGAGGUGAAAUUCUCAGACCAGCGGAAGACGAACCACUGCGAAAGCAUUUGCCAGGGAUGUUUUCAUUG
Molecule: ribosomal RNA, 389 nt
Filed under: Syndiniales sp.
Lineage: Eukaryota; Dinophyceae; Syndiniales
Description: partial small subunit ribosomal RNA
Rfam family: Eukaryotic small subunit ribosomal RNA
Source: RNAcentral